GCUUCCUUGGCACAGUUGGUAGUGCGUAGGUCUCAUACCAUGUUAUGACUGCUGUGUCAGCAGAUAGAUCCUAAGGUCGCAAGUUCGAUCCUUGCAGGGAGCA
Gautieria morchelliformis is the source of this 103-nucleotide non-coding RNA. Lineage: Eukaryota; Fungi; Basidiomycota; Agaricomycetes; Gomphales; Gomphaceae. The record is from the annotation of a GenBank genome assembly.